CGGACGGGUGAGUAACGCGUGAGCAAUCUGCCUUCGGGUGGGGGAUAACAGCCGGAAACGGCUGCUAAUACCGCAUAACACAAGGGAUUCGCAUGUUUCCCUUGUCAAAGAUUUAUCGUCCGAAGAUGAGCUCGUGUCUGAUUAGCUGGUUGGCGGGGUAACGGCCCACCAAGGCGACGAUCAGUAGCCGGACUGAGAGGUUGAACGGCCACAUUGGGACUGAGACACGGCCCAGACUCCUACGGAAGGCAGCAG
This 255-nucleotide ribosomal RNA is filed under the name uncultured bacterium. Its description in RNAcentral is "partial 16S ribosomal RNA". It matches the Rfam family "Bacterial small subunit ribosomal RNA", at positions 99 to 354 of the family's 1533-position model. The record is from RNAcentral.